Molecule: long non-coding RNA, 1542 nt
Organism: Leucoraja erinaceus (little skate)
Lineage: Eukaryota; Metazoa; Chordata; Chondrichthyes; Rajiformes; Rajidae
Exons: 2
Source: RefSeq, a predicted model, not a curated record
CUCAGUGGCACUCAAACACACACAUUCUACCCUACUGCAGCUUUAGAAACAUAGAAAUUAGGUGCAGGAGUAGGCCAUUCGGCCCUUCGAGCCUGCACCGCCAUUCGAUAUGAUCAUGGCUGAUCAUCCAACUCAGUAUCCCGUACCUGCCUUCUCUCCAUACCCCCUGAUCCCCUUAGCCACAAGGGCCACAUCUAACUCCCUCUUAAAUAUAGCCAAUGAACUGGCCUCAACUACCCUCUGUGGCAGAGAGUUCCAGAGAUUCACCACUCUCUGUGUGAAAAAAGUUCUUCUCAUCUCGGUUUUAAAGGAUUUCCCCCUUAUCCUUAAGCUGUGACCCCUUUACGUACGCAUUCAAACAACCCCAAAAUUGGAAGGGCAGAAUCCAUAACGUUUUGGUUCAGGAGAGCAGGCAAGAGUCUUUUUUUGUGCAAAAUCUGACUGUUACCCUGUAAGUACAGGAGUCUCAAAUUCUGCCUUGUCCAAAACUGAACAGAGAAUGGUCACUUGGCAACAAGGAUGCCCUCCGUACUGAAAUGGCCUUUUUUUUUGUUAAUUCCACAAUCCUGUCAAUAGUCCGAAAGGUGGCUUUGCCAGGAAUAUAGGGCAUAGUUGUCUUGGAGCAACAAAACGAGCCACUGCGUGCCAAGGUCAGUUUAAAGGGUACUGUUUCCUCUCAGGCACGCUUCUGCAAAAAAAAGUGAAAUCAUUGCCGUCUCUUUGUUAUCCGAGUAACCGAGUUCGUCAAAUCCCAGAUGGAAAAGAAGACUGGAUGGUGGGGAUCCUUUAUGCAAAUGAUGUCAAAGUCACCAGGCCAGCAAUCGGAGCACUCCUCUCUGGUGACCCCUGGCAAGGAUUCACCCGCUCUGCAGUGCCUCAUGUGGAUACUUUCGAUGGAGGGGAGGGCUGUGCCUGUGAUGGACCAGGCUGAGCUAAUCCUUGCGUUCCUGUGCAUUGGAAUUGCUGUAUCAGGCCAUUAUCCAAUCAGUCAGGAUUCUUUCUACAGUACAUCUGUAGAUGUUUGUUAGAGUAUUCAGAGCUGGCGUGCGUCUAAGGUCCCUGACAAGAUGCGAGCCAAGUGGAGGAAGAAGCGUAUGCACAGAUUGAAGCGUAAAAGAUGAAAGAUGAGGCAGAGGUCCAGGUGAACUGCCGAUGAUGCAGUGCUGAUCAGACUAUGUUGAAUCUUCCUUGGCAACUGGACUCUGGACAUUUCUGCUUACAAUUGUUCCUCUAAGAUCAACAAUUUAUGUAGAUGUUUUGGAUGCCGGUCAUGAAAGAUGCGGAACAUUGGACUGUUAUAGUGCUGUUCCAUGAUGUAUAUUAGUUACAAAAUAAAGUGUAAACUAAAAAAAAAAUUAAAAAAAUUCAGAGACAUAGUGAAUCUCUUUAAACUUCCAAGAAAUUAGAUGCCUUGGUUUACCUUCUUUGUGAUUAAUCUAUAUGCUGGGCCCAGGACAGGCCAUCUGAGAUGUUAACGCCCAGGAAUUUGAAACUGCAAACUAGCUCCACCACCGACCCAGUGAUUAAAAACUGGUGCAUUGU